GAUGAACGCUGGCGGCGUGCCUAAUACAUGCAGGUCGAGCGAACGGACGAGAAGCUUGCUUCUCUGAUGUUAGCGGCGGACGGGUGAGUAACACGUGGAUAACCUACCUAUAAGACUGGGAUAACUUCGGGAAACCGGAGCUAAUACCGGAUGAUAUUUUGAACCGCAUGGUUCAAAAGUGAAAGACGGUCUUGCUGUCACUUAUAGAUGGAUCCGCGCUGCAUUAGCUAGUUGGUAAGGUAACGGCUUACCAAGGCAACGAUGCAUAGCCGACCUGAGAGGGUGAUCGGCCACACUGGAACUGAGACACGGUCCAGACUCCUACGGGAGGCAGCAGUAGGGAAUCUUCCGCAAUGGGCGAAAGCCUGACGGAGCAACGCCGCGUGAGUGAUGAAGGUCUUCGGAUCGUAAAACUCUGUUAUUAGGGAAGAACAUAUGUGUAAGUAACUGUGCACAUCUUGACGGUACCUAAUCAGAAAGCCACGGCUAACUACGUG
This 497-nucleotide ribosomal RNA is filed under the name uncultured bacterium. Its description in RNAcentral is "partial 16S ribosomal RNA". It matches the Rfam family "Bacterial small subunit ribosomal RNA", at positions 28 to 507 of the family's 1533-position model. The record is from RNAcentral.